RNAcentral lists this ribosomal RNA (468 nucleotides) under Triticum aestivum (bread wheat). Its description in RNAcentral is "partial small subunit ribosomal RNA". The record is from RNAcentral. Lineage: Eukaryota; Viridiplantae; Streptophyta; Magnoliopsida; Poales; Poaceae.
AUGUCAACUAUAUUGAUAAUCACAAACACAUUAUCAUUGGCCCUACAACGCAAGAAUCAGGACAUUGUGAAUGCCACAAAUUGUGUGAAUUCAACCAAAGCCUCCUUGAAUCUAAGGGGAAAUGGAUGGGAAUCUAUCCUACAAGAAGCAUCUGUAUUUUGUGACAAGCAUGACAUUUCCAAGUUGGAAAUGGAAGACCAAUAUGUGAAUCCAAAGAAGCCACGGCAAAAAAUAGGUAUCACUAAUAGGCAUCAUUAUGAAGUGGAUUGUUUUAAUGAUGUUAUUGAUUGGCUGCUUCAAGAACUUGAUAAUCGGUUCAAUGAGAAAAAUUCAGAACUACUUGUUUGCUCAACGGCUUUGAGCCCAAAUGAAUCAUUUCGUGAUUUCAACUUAGAGCAUUUGAUGAGUCUAGCUAAACUUUAUCCAAAAGGUUUCGAUGAUGGAGAACUAAGGGACCUUAGACAUUGA